UCGUACCUUUCGUUCCCAGCAGUGCCGGAUUUACCACUAGGCUGAGUAGGCUGAAGCCUAGGGCGGCAGAUUUUAGGGGGCGGCAAAUUUGGGUCAAAAAAAUAUUUUAUUUGCUGUUCAGAUAGGGAUGACCGGAAUUUUGCCGCUCCCCUAUUUAUUUGUAAAAUUUAAAUAACAGGCUUUAUUUGUCGGUUUUGCCGCCCUCUGUCAUGUCAAGACCCUUUAUAUUGAGACAGAUAAACGGUUGGACGGACAACAAAGUGAUCCUAUAUGGAUUCCGUUUUGAAGCUUGGAACCCUAAAAAUGUACCAUGUUCUAUCAAAUUGCGCUAUUUCUAUCGAAAAAAUUUCGCGCUAGCUACGCUCGCGUUUUUAUUUAGGAACGUUAUUGAUGGGCCACAUAUAAAGCUAGGCAAAGGCCUCCCCCCUCUUCUUUCACUCGUCCCGGUUUUGAGCUACAUCUGGCCAGUCUCUCAAAAAGGAGUCCAAGUUAUCCCGCCAUCGCCAACGAGGUCUACCGGUUCCCCGGUUUGACUCGUGGGGUACCCACUUUGUGGUUAACUUGGCCCACAAGUUGUUCGGCAUUCGGCAGACAUAACCAGCCCAGUCCCACUUUAGAGUCGCACCAAACAAAGUCUGCAGCGGAUUUGAUAGCCCACGCAGUGUAAGUGUUAUGUAUACGUCAUAAUUUCAUAGAAGUUUGACGUUUAAAAUGACACUUGUAUUGUGUGGGCUAUCAAAAUCGUUGCAGACUUUUUACGGUUUGACUAUAGCUUACCCGCUUUUCGAGCUAAGCUAUUAUCUGAGGUUUAGAGCGCAUCGUGGUGUUCCGGAUGCGAUCCCUUAGUUUCACACCUAAUAAGCUGCGCUCCAUAGCUCUCUGUCAAACCCCGAGUUUGGACUUCUGAGCUUCCGUCAAAGACCAAGUCUGAGCACCAUAAGCUAGGACUGACAGUAACACUUAAAUAUGUAGGUACCAUUUUCUAGCAAAUUGCGCUAUUUGUACCUAAAAAAUUUCGCGAUCGCUACGCUCGCGUUUUUAUUGAGGUACAUUAUUUGUGGCCCAUCAAUAUAAGCCAUUUGUAUAGCAUAGUCCCUCGAGCAAUCGAUGCCAGAUCCGACCAAACUCCUUUGCUAUAUCCAGCCUGACUGCCAAUGCCUUACCUUGAUUCUCAAUGGCCAAAACCCAGUGGUACCCACCGGUCGCCGAUCAGAUCAGGCAAAUACAUAUAACGAGGUCGCAUCGUCAUUGGCUGACAAAAACGGCUCAUAUAAAUCUGUAUCUAGAAUAGUGACAUCACCUUAUAUGCAUUCUAAUAUGACUAUGGUGCGUUGUACUAUUAAAUUAAACGCCUCUGAUUGGAAAGUACUUUAAAAAGCUAUAUGCGAGGUGGAUAGGGGCGGCAAAACCAGCAUAGCCUAUGGGCGGCAAAUGUCUAAAUCCGGCACUGGUUCCCAGUGUUCCCACCUAUGGUUGUCGCUGCCGCCGUCGCAAGUCGCUCAAUAUCGUGGCCGAGCCGUAAGGUGUACAAUACGUCUAUAAUAAGCUCUUCAGCUCGAGCAGCUACAAAGUAACUUGUAUUUCAUCUGUGCCAGUGAGACUUAGUAUCUAUGGGAGCCUUAUUACUACUAGCAAUAUUAUGGCUGCAACUAUUUAAUAGGUUAGCCAGAUUCCUUAUUUUGUCAUGCACAGCCAUAAGCUUCCUUAAUAAAAUUAAUUAACGCCAUCAAGAUUGCAGUAGAUAGGUAAUUCAGAUCAAUGUGAAUGACGAACCUUGAAUAUCACUUCACUCAGACGAUUUGUGAAAUAGUUGCACGGUGGUUUUCUAUAAAAACAUCUCACCAACCAUCUGAAUUAAGUUGAAGCCAUAUAAAUAUAUUUAUUUACAUAUUUAUAUUUAAAUAUUGUUAUUAAAUAGUUGACUAAUAUUAGAGAAUAAAAUAUGUAUUCAUAUCCUUAGGUGGAGUGCACACAAAGGUGGAUAAAGUAAAUAUUGGCAGACCUUACUUCAUUUGCAUUAAUUACGGUUUGCAAUCGCUUAAGUUCUUAUUGUGUUUGGGUAGAACAAUACGCGGCAAAAACACAACCCAAUUAUUGCUUCAUACGCAACCCAAUAAUAAACUUUGAAUCAUAUAAGGUAGGAUCGUAUAGAAGUGGUAUACGCGUGCCUCCGUGAGGGACAAAACAUACGCAAAUGCGACACUAUGAUUGGUCGAAUUUAUUUGUUGCCCACCAUUAUCCAUACUAAAAAAAAGGUGGGGAACAAAAAAAUAUGUGAGACCGUGAUAAGGACAAACAAUAAUAGAGCUUUCUCUGCUACUCCUACUGAAAGAUACGUAAGACUAUCCCGUUCUGUCACUUAUCCCCACCACUCAUGCCCAAUCCAGUUUAAUACUAGAUUCAUGCUUUGAAUAGUAUGUAAGGUUGGUAUUCCACCUGCCAAUUUCUUGGUCCAAUGUGUAUUGCAUCUCACUCUCUCUCUCUAAGCAAAAUAAGAGACGCAAAUACACAUUGGACAAAGAAAUUGGACUGAUGGAAUGCCAUCCUAAGCGAUUUUCAAAAGUGAUUAUAAUACUUGAUGUAAAAUAAUAUUAAUUAAUUAAUUAAAUGUUAAUUUUAGGCUAAUAAUUAUGAUGUGCAAUGCAGAAAUAUAUAUUUAUUUUACUAUAAUGUGAUAUUAUUUGGUAAUAUUUGUAAUAAAAAUAUUAUGAUUUAAUAAACUUUUAUUUACAUAGC
This is a long non-coding RNA of Cydia fagiglandana, 2736 nucleotides long. RefSeq lists it as uncharacterized. The record is from RefSeq and is a predicted model, not a curated record. Lineage: Eukaryota; Metazoa; Arthropoda; Insecta; Lepidoptera; Tortricidae. The transcript is spliced from 2 exons.